GUCGAGCUCGUGCUCAACCUCGCCGACAGUGUCCUCCAUGGUCAGUGCAUGCAUGUAUAACUCGUUGCCAGCGUGGUUGCUCGCGACACGCGCGUGCACGCACUGCGUGCCAUCAGAAUCAGAGCAGGCAGUGCAAAGUACAGUAGAAGAGAACUCGGUGUGUGUUUGACGCAGUUCCCCGUUGUUCUACCGUGGCCGGCCGCGCAUGCAGGGCGGAUGGAGUAUCCUGACAGGUCGUCGCCGGCGUACCGGUCGGUGACGGGGCUCAUCGACCGGAGGGUCGAUCUGGACCGGAGCAUCAAACCGACGGACAGCCGGUUCGACGCCGCGCUCUGCGUCAUGGCGUCCAAACUGGCGUACGAGAACGAGGCGUUCAUCCGCGACGUGGUCACGAGGCACUGGCAGGUAACGUGCACUUAAGGGCAUGCUCCCACCCUCUCCACCACUGGAUUCGCAUUGAGAAGUGUGCAAACACUGUCUCUUAUACACAUCUCAACCUGAAGUGCAAACACACAUCUCAAAGCAGAUUCGCAUUGAGAUGUGUGUUUGCACACUUCUCAAUGCGAAUCCAGUGGUAGAGAGAGUGGGAGCACAUGCCUUAAGGGCAAAAUUAACUUUCCCAAGCCCUCCUUUUUCAUCCGGUCGAGUUUGAAAGAAGAUCUGAUCGAAACGGCCGCACGCACUGUGGCGCGUGCAGAUGGAGUUCGUGCGUUUCUACAACUGCUGGAACGGUAAGAUCGACGACGUUGCUGCUGCUGCUGUGUGUGUGUGUGUGUUCGCACUUGCAUUGCAACAAGCCGACAUUCUUGAUUCUUCUCGGUGCCUUGCAGAGUUCCGGAACGCGUACACGGUGCAGGCGUUCGUGUUCUGCGACAAGCCGGCGCCGGACGCGGAGCUGCUGGUGGUGGCGUUCCGCGGGACGAGGCCGUUCGACGCGGCCGGGUGGUGCGCCGACCUGGACCCGUCGUGGUACAAGAUCCCCCGCCUCGGCCGCGCGCACGCCGCCUACACCCACGCGCUCGGCGCGCAGCGCAACAUCGGCUGGCCCAAGCCCAAGUGGGUCGAGCACAUCAAGGGCAAGCCACAGAAGGUACUGGUCUUGGAUCGCUUCGUCGUCGUCGUCGUCGUCAUCACGCCGGCGACGCUGAUCGAUGAGCAUGCACUGAUUUCCGCAUGCAUGCCGGCCCGCAGGUGUACGCGUACUACACGAUCCGGGACACGGUGAAGGAGCUGCUGGAGGCGAACACGAAGGCGCGGCUGCUGGUGACGGGGCACGGGUCGGGCGGCGCGCUGGCGGUGCUGUUCCCGGCGAUCCUGGCAUACCACAAGGAGAAGGCGGUGCUGGACCGGGUGGCGGGGGUGUACACGUUCGCGCAGCCGCGCGUCGGCGACGCCAUGCUCGGCAUGUUCGUGGAGAGGAACCUGGACCGCCCCCGGAAGCGCCACUUCCGGAUCGCCUACGGCGACGACUCGCUGCCGCGGCUGCCCAACGAGAGCUCCGCCGUCCAUUUCCUGCAUUUCGGGCUUGGCCUCCACUUCGACAAAUCUUACAAGCUCAAGGUGUGAUUGGUUUGCCAAUUUCUAUUACUUUUUUUUUUCACUUUUUUCUCAUUAUCGAAGUUUUUUUUCAACAAUAUAUAUAAUUUGCAUGAAACCAGACCACUGACUGAGCUGCUAGCCUGCUACUGCUAGUUCCAUUUGCAUUCAUUUUCAUGUCCUUGCAAUUGCAAAUUUGCAAUGCAUGCAUGCAGGUGUUGAGGGAGAUCCCGGGAGAGGAGGCCUCCUCGUCGGUGGUGGACGCGGUGACGAGCCGCGUGAGCUCGGCGUGGGAGCUGGGCCGCUGCGUGUACCUGGGCUACCAGCACGGCGCCUACUUCCGGGAGGGGUGGUUGCUGCUGCUGAUGCGGGUGCUGGCGGUGGCGCUGCCGGGCCUGCCGUUCCACAGGGUGCAGGACUACGUCAACGCCAUGGUUCUGGGAGACUACAUUCCCAAGGAUAACUGAUGGACGUCUCUGAUGACUGAUGAGUCGUCACACGUCAGUGCAUGCAUUUCAAUCAACCUGAAUCUGAUCGCCCGUCCAUGAAUGAACAGUAUGCAGUAUGCAGAACUGCAACGACUACAGUGACAUCACCUCCAUCAGACCGAUCACCGAAGCUAUGGGAUGUACAGUAAUGUUUUAACGUACUAUUAGUAGUAAUUAAGUAAGCGGACUGCUACCGUAUGCAUGUGAGCAUUUGCUAUGUAUCGAACUAUGAACAAAGUAAGUGUAGAAGCCAAUAAAUAAAUAAAGUAUGUGCACAGUUAAGCGUAAAUGAACUAAAGAGUUGUACGCUGUCUUUACAACAAACGUCACACAAACCUUUUGGGAUGUUUUACAGCCUUAUUACAGGUAUAGUAUAUUGGAUAACCCUUAGGGCCUGUUCAGUUAUCAGAGAUAUUGGACACUGGAAACAAAAACUUGAAAUGUUGUGCUAAUUUCUACUAACUUUGAUCACAGGGAAUGAUUCCCCGGAAGGAAUUAUGCCUAAACGAACGAGGCCUUAAUGUGCCAGCCUUCAGGAUUCUGGAACUGAGAGAAUAAAUGAACUGUGGUUGAAACGAACUGAAAGGUGGUACCGGAGUCUACCAGAGAGCCACCAAAUCUCCCCCCUAUAAUAACAUUGUUCUUUGAUAAAGAAAAAGAUUACUUACUACCAAAACAAAUCUUCUGGGAUACUUUUGUUUGUCAUGGCGCAUGAAACAGAUCAAUGACAAUGCAUAAUAUGAUCGAUUACCUCUGAAUUUUAGCAAUCUCCAUGAAAUCAGACCACUGUUCUGCAACCUCGACCUGCGUUCGCAUGCAGGACAGUACUGUGACGACUGACGAGGCGCAUCUGAUCGAUCAACUCGGCGCCACCGUCAGAGACCCCUGCUUUCAGUCUCAGUCAUCAGCUGAGUGCUGGUCGUCGACGUCGAUGCCUAUACAAUAUGCAGAAAACAGUCGCAGUCUUACAUGCUGAGGUCGUGCAGUGCAGGGGCCUUGCAACUGCGACUACAUUGACGUUACCUUCAUCGACCGAUGCUACGCGAAAUUGUUUACUACUGUACUGGUACGUAGUACGUAAUUACGUAAGGCAUGAGCAUUAUAGAUACACAUAACACUGCUUCCGUGUGAUCAUUUCCUGUGUGAGCAAGCAAGUGCACAAGGCCAGAAGCUAAAUAAAAGUAUGUGCUCAUUAAGCAUAAGUAAACCAUUGUUAUCUAAAAAAACUAAGCAUAAGUAGACUAGAAUCUCUAGUGUUUUAUACUGCCAUUGCCUGCCGGUAUAGAUUAUGCAGUGGCGCUUUCCUUCUGUGACAAAAACUGUUCUAUUGUGAUCUGUCCACUGGCCUGGGGCUACAUGGGCUUUCGAAAGCCCAUCACCUGCCACGAGAAAGGCCGCACAAGAGGUACUGGGCUGUCCAGGCCAGUCCGUGCCUGCGUACGUCUGGGCCGGACCGCAUGUGCUCCUGAUCAAUACGCAAAUCUCCUGUUCUUAAAGGGGGCGAGUGCAAACCCACAUAAAGCGAGAUGGGUAUCUGGAUAGAGGCUUUGCCGCUCACAGUCACAGCCUCACAGGAGGUCGCUGCGGUGGUUCAGUACUUCAGUUCGCCAUGGAAGGUGCAGUCGGCCAAAUGGUCGUCCCGGUCCUCGGCAUCGUUGCCGCGGCCGCCGUGACCUUCUACACCGUCAGCUUCAUGGAGAUGCGAGACGUACGCUUUGCUGUUCCCUCUCUCUAUAUCUCUGUCUGAUGUGUUGGUUUCCCAUUCCAUUUCAACGCUGCGAUUACGGUCACCAUGCAACUUACGAUUUGCAGAAAUCUUUCGAGGAGCUCGACGAGAAGUACUCGGAGCUCGACGAGUCAGGCGGACGGCAGCGCCGGUCUCGCCGGAGGGCCGAGCGCGACAGGAAGAGAGCGAAAUGAUUGACCACCACACACACCGCCGAUCUUAUGAAUUUGUUGAUUUGGAGAUAUGCCGGUUAAUUCAUAGGGGUGAGUGUGCAUGUACCUACUGAAGCAGCUAAAACGAUGGAUUUGUUUAAACGACUCCAUAUAUAAUGUACCCUCUGCUGUUCUUCGGUUCUAUCAGGACUUGUAAAACAAAUUUCCCCUAAAUUGCUUCGAUUCUAGAUUGAGUGUUCUCAACGCCAAAUUUCCAUUAGCAUACAUGCGUUCGAUAUAUUUCGGAAAAGUUGAAAACUAAAAAGCACUUCCGUGUAGAUGGAGUUCGUGCGUUUCAAUUAAUAAUACAUGGAAUAGUAAAACCCAAGAACACUACGCAAGAGAGCACAUAUUAAUAAGGCCCCUUUUAGGUUGCAGGACUUCUACAUGUUAGUGCUACGUUUUCCCUAUAAAAAUAAAUUGAUUCAUGUGAAAAUCUUACAUGUAAAAAGUCGUCCUGCCUUCCAAAUUAAAGGGGAUACGAACGAACGAAGAAGAAUGCUGAAGAUGAAGAGACCCGCAGGAUACCAAAGAUGGCGUGAGGCAUUUCAAGGAGGCUUUGGGAUGAAUAUAUAUACGUACUCGCGAAGAGCUGGGGGCCAUCGAGACCGAAGCGAGCGCAUUUCCAAAAAUCAUCACCAGGAUUCAGAAUAGGGAUGUAGUAGCAACAGAACGUCACUAUGCCCUUUUUGUUUUGUAGAAAUACCAUGAUAUCGAUAAAAUUGUUUUUUCAUAGACACCCAA
RNAcentral lists this long non-coding RNA (4706 nucleotides) under Sorghum bicolor (sorghum). RNAcentral's name for it is "long non-coding RNA (SBIC_LNC011477)". Lineage: Eukaryota; Viridiplantae; Streptophyta; Magnoliopsida; Poales; Poaceae. The record is from RNAcentral.